AACGUAGGUUCCGAGCGUUAUCCGGAUUUACUGGGCGUAAAGCGCGUUCAGGCGGUUUGGCAAGUCGGGCAUGAAAUCUCUCGGCUCAACCGGGAGAGGUUGUCCGAUACUGCUGGACUUGAGGGCAGUAGAGGGUGGUGGAAUUCCGGGUGUAGUGGUGAAAUGCGUAGAUAUCCGGAGGAACACCAGUGGCGAAGGCGGCCUUCUGGACUGACACUGACGCUGAGGCGCGAAAGCCAGGGGAGCAAACAGG
Molecule: ribosomal RNA, 253 nt
Filed under: uncultured bacterium
Lineage: Bacteria
Description: partial 16S ribosomal RNA
Rfam family: Bacterial small subunit ribosomal RNA
Source: RNAcentral